Molecule: ribosomal RNA, 465 nt
Filed under: uncultured bacterium
Lineage: Bacteria
Description: partial 16S ribosomal RNA
Rfam family: Bacterial small subunit ribosomal RNA
Source: RNAcentral
CUACGGGCGGCAGCAGUGGGGAAUAUUGCGCAAUGGGCGAAAGCCUGACGCAGCAACGCCGUGUGAGGGAUGAAGGCUUUCGGGUCGUAAACCUCUGUCGGAAGGGAAGAACGGGCAUUGGUCUAAUAGGCCUUUGUUUUGACGGUACCUUUAGAGGAAGCACCGGCUAACUCCGUGCCAGCAGCCGCGGUAAUACGGAGGGUGCAAGCGUUAUUCGGAAUUACUGGGUGUAAAGCGCACGUAGGCCGUUUUGUAAGUCAGGGGUGAAAUCCCACGGCUCAACCGUGGAACUGCCUUUGAAACUGCAGGACUUGAAUCCUGGAGAGGGUGGCGGAAUUCCUGGUGUAGGAGUGAAAUCCGUAGAUAUCAGGAGGAACACCGGUGGCGAAGGCGGCCACCUGGACAGGUAUUGACGCUGAGGUGCGAAAGUGUGGGGAGCAAACAGGAUUAGAUACCCUAGUAGUC